CUACUAUUGCAAGUGGUGAUUUUAAAAACACACAUGUAUUCAUUCCGAAAAUACCACUCUUAUCAUCACAAGAUGAAAAGUUACCCGUCGCUUUCAAAAGAACACAGUUUCCACUCCGAUUAUGUUUUGCUAUGACAAUUAACAAAGCUCAAGGUCAGACAUUAGAUUUUGUUGGAAUUUAUUUACGUGCACCAGUAUUCUCUCAUGGUCAACUCUAUGUUGUUUUAUCUUGAGCAAAGAAUUCGAAAAAUGUAAAGAUACUGAUACGCCCACCAACGCCAGAGAAUAAGGAUGAUGACUCCACCUACAAUAUAGUUUAUGAGGAAGUCAUCAGAAAAGCAUUCUUUAAAUUAAUUGUAUUUUUAUCAAUAAUUCAUUACUUCUCUUUCCAACAUGUAUAAAUAUGAUUACUGAUCUACACUGUGAUGCUUGAUAUUUCAAAUAAAGUUUGUUUAAUGAAUUCAUACUGGCUCUUUCAUUAGGUAAACUCUACUUACUAAGAUCUUGCUUAUCCCCAAGCAUUAGAAGUAAAAUCUCUAAGUAUUAAUGAGGUAGAAAUAGAAGUAGCAUAUGUGAUAUCUGUAUCUUUUGGUAUUUAUAGUUGAAAUCCUCUGUUCAUUAGCCUGCCAUCGUGGUCAAUAUACUUGCUACUCAUACCACCAAAAAUCUACAGUGUAGUACCUUCCACUUUUGUGCUUAUUGCAAAUAAAAAUGGUUGUUCAUACACAUAUCUAUUACAUAAGUCUUUUUCUUGUGGUUAUGUUGUUUCAUUCCGGUAUAGAUAAGUGUCAUUUAAGCAACACUAUUUUAUUAGGUUGAAAAAAUUCUCAGCUAAGAUUUGGAACUGUGCAGUAACUACUUACCAACAUAUCUUCUGAUAAAGUUGGCAUUUUCCUCUUGAGUUACCAUGAAUAUGAUAGAUUCCAAUGAGGGACAAAAUAUGUCAUCGAGGGAUUUUACUUUAUCAUGAAUCUAUUGAUUCUAUAUGACUUAUUACUACUCCCCCUUUCGCACUUUAUUCGUACAUGGAGUGUGGUGGGGGGAAAUGGAAUUUUAUUUUUUAUUUCACAAAUGGGCAUGCUAGAUCAUAUAUCUAUAUACGGAUAAAUACAGGUGGAUUCGUACCUGAGAUCUUUCUACAAAUAGUGGGGAUAUCCACCCCUAUGGCCAUGUUCUAUUCGGAGGAAUAAAAUAAAAAUAGUCUUUUGGAGAGAUGGGACACUUUGUAUUCUGUUAUCACCUCAAUUGGAAAUGAGUUACCUGAUAUGUUGAGUUUCAUCAUUGUAGAAAUAACUUUUGUCCAUUAACCAUGUCCUGGACACAUUUUCAGACAGAAUUUUACGAAUCCAAUUAAGAAAAUCAUCUUGGAAAAGUUCUGACUUUGUGCGUACGAGUCUAUCGAUCUUGUCAUUCGUGGAGGAACAUAUCUUUGCACCAAUAAUUAGUGAGAGAAGCCAAUAAAAGGUAAGGCCUCUAGGUGCAGAUGAGACAGAAAUGGAAACAGCGGAUGUGAUCAC
This 1517-nucleotide long non-coding RNA is filed under the name Nicotiana benthamiana. RNAcentral's name for it is "long non-coding RNA (NBEN_LNC018294)". Lineage: Eukaryota; Viridiplantae; Streptophyta; Magnoliopsida; Solanales; Solanaceae. The record is from RNAcentral.